CUCCCUGUGGCUCAGUUGGUAGAGCAUGGUGUUUGCAAUGCCAGCAUGGUGUGUGCAACGCCAGGGUUGUGGGUUCGAUUCCCACGGGGGGC
RNAcentral lists this transfer RNA (92 nucleotides) under Salmo salar (Atlantic salmon). It matches the Rfam family "tRNA". From Rfam's summary of the family: Transfer RNA (tRNA) molecules are approximately 80 nucleotides in length. RNAcentral also lists the same sequence under 1 other name. Lineage: Eukaryota; Metazoa; Chordata; Actinopteri; Salmoniformes; Salmonidae. The record is from Rfam by way of RNAcentral.